AGGGGGGGACCUCGGAGGGAUCAUUACACAAAUAUGAAGGCGGGCUGGAACCUCUCGGGGUUACAGCCUUGCUGAAUUAUUCACCCUUGUCUUUUGCGUACUUCUUGUUUCCUUGGUGGGUUCGCCCACCACUAGGACAAACAUAAACCUUUUGUAAUUGCAAUCAGCGUCAGUAACAAAUUAAUAAUUACAACUUUCAACAACGGAUCUCUUGGUUCUGGCAUCGAUGAAGAACGCAGCGAAAUGCGAUAAGUAGUGUGAAUUGCAGAAUUCAGUGAAUCAUCGAAUCUUUGAACGCACAUUGCGCCCUUUGGUAUUCCAAAGGGCAUGCCUGUUCGAGCGUCAUUUGUACCCUCAAGCUUUGCUUGGUGUUGGGCGUCUUGUCUCUAGCUUUGCUGGAGACUCGCCUUAAAGUAAUUGGCAGCCGGCCUACUGGUUUCGGAGCGCAGCACAAGUCGCACUCUCUAUCAGCAAAGGUCUAGCAUCCAUUAAGCCUUUUUUUCAACUUUUGACCUCGGAUCAGGUAGGGAUACCCGCUGAACUUAAGCAUAUCAAAA
Molecule: ribosomal RNA, 557 nt
Filed under: Alternaria sp.
Lineage: Eukaryota; Fungi; Ascomycota; Dothideomycetes; Pleosporales; Pleosporaceae
Description: eukaryotic LSU rRNA
Rfam family: 5.8S ribosomal RNA (bases 192-345)
Source: RNAcentral